RNAcentral lists this ribosomal RNA (789 nucleotides) under Triticum aestivum (bread wheat). Its description in RNAcentral is "partial small subunit ribosomal RNA". The record is from RNAcentral. Lineage: Eukaryota; Viridiplantae; Streptophyta; Magnoliopsida; Poales; Poaceae.
GCGAUGGUGAGCCCAGAUUCCGCAACAUGGCUGGAAGCCAUGAAAUCUGAGAUGGGAUCCAUGUAUGAAAACAAAGUGUGGACUUUGGUUGACUUGCCCGAGGGUCGACAAGCAAUAGAGAACAAGUGGAUCUUCAAGAAGACUGACGCUGACGGUAAUGUUACUGUCUACAAAGCUCGACUUGUCGCAAAGGGGUUUCGACAAGUUCAAGGGAUUGACUACGAUGAGACUUUCUCACCCGUAGCGAUGCUUAAGUCUGUCCGAAUCAUGUUAGCAAUUGCCGCAUUUUAUGAUUAUGAAAUUUGGCAAAUGGAUGUAAAGACUGCAUUCCUGAAUGGGUUUCUGGAAGAAGAGUUGUAUAUGAUGCAACCAGAAGGUUUUAUCGAUCCAAAGGGAGCUAACAAAGUGUGCAAGCUCCAGCGAUCCAUUUAUGGACUGGUGCAAGCAUCUCGGAGUUGGAAUAAACGUUUUGAUAGUGUGAUCAAAGCAUUCGGGUUUAUACAGACUUUUGGAGAAGCCUGUAUUUACAAGAAAGUGAGUGGGAGCUCUGUAGCAUUUCUGAUAUUAUAUGUAGAUGACAUAUUACUGAUUGGAAAUGAUAUAGAAUUUCUGGAUAUCAUAAAGGGAUACUUGAAUAAGAUUUUUUCAAUGAAAGACCUCGGAGAAGCUGCUUACAUAUUGGGCAUAAAGAUCUAUAGAGAUAGAUCGAGACGCUUAAUUGGACUUUCACAAAGCACAUACCUUGACAAGAUUUUGAAGAAGUUCAAAAUGGAUCAAGCAAAGAAAGGG